Molecule: long non-coding RNA, 251 nt
Filed under: Ananas comosus (pineapple)
Lineage: Eukaryota; Viridiplantae; Streptophyta; Magnoliopsida; Poales; Bromeliaceae
Description: long non-coding RNA (ACOM_LNC038463)
Source: RNAcentral
GCUCUCGGGUAACCUUCAUUGGGUUGUGUACCGGUACAGGGUUGCUGGCUGUACCGGUACAGGGUUGAUGGUUGUAUCGGUACGGGAUUGUGUACCGGUACACAGGCAGCUUCCAAGCCAACCCAAGGCUCGGGUUUGGCAUUUUCGUGGGAUGUGUGCCGGUACGUGGGCCCGUGUACUGGUACGCAGUGGCAGUUUUUGAGCAGUUUGAACUGCAGGGGGUUUUUCGCGUUUGUGGCUAUUCUAUAUAG